AUCGCAUAUGAUUUGUUGAAUGGC
This 24-nucleotide non-coding RNA is filed under the name Arabidopsis thaliana (thale cress). Lineage: Eukaryota; Viridiplantae; Streptophyta; Magnoliopsida; Brassicales; Brassicaceae. The record is from RNAcentral.